Molecule: long non-coding RNA, 304 nt
Organism: Cygnus atratus (black swan)
Lineage: Eukaryota; Metazoa; Chordata; Aves; Anseriformes; Anatidae
Exons: 3
Source: RefSeq, a predicted model, not a curated record
AAUCAACACCAUGCCAACAUGUUCUGUAGUCCGAAGGUCACUCAAACAUCUGGCCCCACAGUCUUGUUCUUUAAGUGCCUUAUGAUUAACUUCUGGAUGUAUUGUUUCAAAACAAUGAGGAACUUCUUGCUUAAUUCUAUAAAGGGGUAGUAAAUCAUGACUCAGGAAAUGUCUCAGCUGAAGGUCAUUGCAUAAGGAAGCAGAGAUACUGAGACAGAAAGUUUGUCCACAUUUUUGUAUAACAACUGCGGUUGAUAUCACCUGCAGGAAUCAGAAGGUUUCAUCCUGUUGCUGGUGCUAGCAU